UAGAGUUCUUAAGAAAGCUGCUAACUAUCUUUAAGCAAUUAAAUUUGUUAAACU
This 54-nucleotide transfer RNA is filed under the name Blastopsylla occidentalis. RNAcentral's name for it is "tRNA-Ser". The record is from RNAcentral. Lineage: Eukaryota; Metazoa; Arthropoda; Insecta; Hemiptera; Aphalaridae.